UACGUAGGGGGCAAGCGUUGUCCGGAAUUAUUGGGCGUAAAGCGCGCGUAGGCGGCCAAGUAAGUCUUACGUGGAAUCCUGAGGCUCAACCUCAGGCCUGCGCGGGAUACUGCUUGGCUAGAGUCCGGAAGAGGAGAGUGGAAUUCCUGGUGUAGCGGUGGAAUGCGCAGAUAUCAGGAGGAACAUCCGUGGCGAAGGCGGCUCUCUGGGACGGUACUGACGCUGAGACGCGAAAGCGUGGGGAGCGAACAGG
Molecule: ribosomal RNA, 253 nt
Filed under: uncultured bacterium
Lineage: Bacteria
Description: partial 16S ribosomal RNA
Rfam family: Bacterial small subunit ribosomal RNA
Source: RNAcentral